ACGCAUUGGCACUGCAGCUGCCACCCUUGUGCCCGCGGAGAUGGGAGGAAGCGAAUGGGGAGGGGGACAGCCGCAGGAGUCCUGGUGGUCUGAGAGGGAGACUCGGUACCUGGGAGCCAUUGGCAUCACACCCGUCAGGCUGGUGCCCCAAGCUGGGGCAGUGGGAACAGGGGCCCCAGGAGGCAGAGAGGAGGGGCAGAGAUGUGUUAAUGAUGUUUCUGUCUCUCUGGAGCUCAGCUCUGAGAAACAGUUGGACUAUGAGGCAUGGGGAGCAGAGCGACAGACGGAGAGAGGCUUGAGGACACAAAGGAGGAAGCGUGCCAUUGCCAAGACCCCAAGGAAGAAGGACAGAGAGCGCUGGCAGUCCUGUCUGGCCCCCAGCCAGUUUCCUGCUGAAGAUGGCCAAAUCCUCUUGCCUGGUCUGUGUAUGUCACCGUGCGAGCAUGGUGGGAGCAGGGGGGUGGCUUGCUUGCUGAGCUGGGAUCUAGAAUGGGAAGGGCACCUUUCUGUGGAUCUCGUUUGGACUUUCCACUCUAACAAGUGA
This 544-nucleotide long non-coding RNA is filed under the name Felis catus (domestic cat). RNAcentral describes it as "lncRNA (ENSFCAG00000051342.1)". The record is from RNAcentral. Lineage: Eukaryota; Metazoa; Chordata; Mammalia; Carnivora; Felidae.